CUCACUCAACGAAUGACUAAUGACUUAUUAAUAAGACUCUGAACAUUCCCUACAAUCCUUUUUAGACCAUCACUUUAAAUAAAAAAAAAAAAAUAAAAAAUAAAAAGCCAACUUACCACUUCACAAAAUCUUGACCUAAAAAAACACAAGUAGUGUGAAAAGAGCAUGAGUCUGACGUUGCCAAUACCUCAAUCAAGAUAUCAAAAAGGGAUUCCCAGACACGUAAGUCAUACAGUCACAUCCUCUUGCUCUCACCUCUAUAAGAGAAGAGAGGCGGUAUGGUAUAAAAGACAGUGACAGCACCGAGUAAACUGAACUUGAAAACUCAAAACCAGGCAAAUAGACUGGAACCACGCACGACGACAUGAACGUCUUCAUAUUUUUCUUCCUGAGCACCGCAGUGGUUACUGCAGCACCUCAUACGGCAUCUACAUCAGACAAACAUCAGCAGAAAAGUGGAAAGGCGGUCAACUUCACCAACCAUGAAUGCCACCGGAAAUCUCAAGAAGGCAAGAAAGAAGGCCAACAUCUUUUAAAAGAUAUCAUGCAUCAUGUGAAAAACUUGAAAAUGAACCUAACAGCGAAGACACUUCAGAAACAAGUCCAACAUGUUUUUAUGAAUGAAGAAUGCAGUUGUGAGACGCUCUGCAAAGCAGGGAAGGUUCUCACAGCAUACAACACAUCGGACCUCGGACUGAAGAGUCAGCGGGACUGGAGGCUGCACAGAAUGCUUCAAUCUUACUCAGAACAGAACUGCUCAUACCCAGAGGAGCUAAGCACGGUUUCACUUGACGAGCUUUUGGAUAAAAUACACAGCUGUGCCCAGAAGGAGUUUGCAAAUUAUUUUAAAAAAAAAAAUGUAUUGUAAUAUUUAUAUGUAUUUAUAUAUCUUUAUACUAAUACAUUAUUUAUGGGAAUGUGUUUAUACUUUAGUAAUUUAUUUGUAAACUGAUUUACAUAUUUAUGAAUAAAAUAUUUAUGCAC
Ictalurus punctatus (channel catfish) is the source of this 984-nucleotide long non-coding RNA. The record is from Ensembl. Lineage: Eukaryota; Metazoa; Chordata; Actinopteri; Siluriformes; Ictaluridae.